AUGAGAAUGGUGUUUUCCGCAUGAAGUUGUUAUUGUCCAGGGACUUUCAACACCCUCCUCCUAAAGGCUACUUCCUGACGAAGAUUUUCCAUCCAAACAAUGGUGAGAUUUGUGUCAACACCUUGAAAAAGGAUUGGAAUCCAAGUCUUGGAUUACGACAUGUUCUGAUUGUAGUUAGAUGUCUAUUUAUUGAACCAUUUCCAGAAUCAGCAUUGAAUGAAC
Pyrus x bretschneideri (Chinese white pear) is the source of this 222-nucleotide long non-coding RNA. RefSeq lists it as uncharacterized. The record is from RefSeq and is a predicted model, not a curated record. The transcript has 3 exons. NCBI's taxonomy places the organism in Eukaryota, Viridiplantae, Streptophyta, Magnoliopsida, Rosales, Rosaceae.